CCUACGGGUGGCAGCAGUGAGGAAUAUUGGUCAAUGUGCGCGAGCCUGAACCAGCCAAGUCGCGUGAGGGAAGACGGUCCUAUGGAUUGUAAACCUCUUUUGUCGGGGAGCAAAAGACGCCACGCGUGGCGUUCCGAGAGUACCCGAAGAAAAAGCAUCGGCUAACUCCGUGCCAGCCGCCGCGGUAAUACGUAGGGAGCAAGCGUUAUCCGGAUUUACUGGGUGUAAAGGGCGUGUAGGCGGGCAUGCAAGCCAGAAGUGAACUCUGGGGGCUUAACCCCCAAACUGCUUUUGGAACUGCGUGUCUUGAGUGAUGGAGAGGCAGGCGGAAUUCCCAGUGUAGCGGUGAAAUGCGUAGAUAUUGGGAGGAACACCAGUGGCGAAGGCGGCCUGCUGGACAUUAACUGACGCUGAGGCGCGAAAGCGUGGGGAGCAAACAGGAUUAGAUACCCCAGUAGUC
RNAcentral lists this ribosomal RNA (460 nucleotides) under uncultured bacterium. RNAcentral's name for it is "partial 16S ribosomal RNA". It matches the Rfam family "Bacterial small subunit ribosomal RNA", at positions 338 to 795 of the family's 1533-position model. The record is from RNAcentral.